AGCAGCCGCGGUAAUUCCAGCUCCAAUAGCGUAUAUUAAAGUUGUUGCAGUUAAAAAAGCUCGUAGUUGAAUUUCGGGAUCAAUUUGCUGGUCGUGCCUCUGGUACGUACUGGUAUUAUUGGUUUCUCCCUUCUGACGAACCAUGAUGUCAUUAAUUUGAUGUCGUGGAGAAUCAGGACUGUUACUUUGAAAAAAAUUAGAGUGUUUAAAGCAGGCAUUAGCUUGAAUACAUUAGCAUGGAAUAAUGAAAUAGGACGUUUGAUCCUAUUUUGUUGGUUUCUAGGAUUGACGUAAUGAUUAAUAGGGAUAGUUGGGGGGCAUUAGUAUUCAAUUGUCAGAGGUGAAAUUCUUGGAUUUAUUGAAGACUAACUACUGCGAAAGCAUUUGCCAAGGAUGUUUUCAUUAAUCAAGAACGAAAGUUAGGGGAUCGAAGACGAUCAGAUACCGUCGUAGUCUUAACCAUAAACUAUGCCGACUAGGGAUCGGAUGAUGUUAAUUUUUUUAAUGACUCAUUCGGCGC
Molecule: ribosomal RNA, 520 nt
Filed under: uncultured Glomus
Lineage: Eukaryota; Fungi; Glomeromycota; Glomeromycetes; Glomerales; Glomeraceae
Description: SSU rRNA
Rfam family: Eukaryotic small subunit ribosomal RNA
Source: RNAcentral